This 81-nucleotide small RNA is filed under the name Staphylococcus aureus. RNAcentral describes it as "HMPRNC0000_2406". Lineage: Bacteria; Bacillati; Bacillota; Bacilli; Caryophanales; Staphylococcaceae. The record is from RNAcentral.
UUAGUGAUAGACUAAGCAAAAAUUGUUAUUUGCUAUGAUGUAGAUGUCUUAAAAUGAUUAAGGGGGAUUUGCUUUGUUAAC